Salvelinus namaycush (lake trout) is the source of this 1549-nucleotide long non-coding RNA. RefSeq lists it as uncharacterized. Lineage: Eukaryota; Metazoa; Chordata; Actinopteri; Salmoniformes; Salmonidae. The record is from RefSeq and is a predicted model, not a curated record. The transcript has 2 exons.
CUAUAUCUGUUCUUAGUUCUAAAUUAUUUUAAAUGGGGCAUGCUUAUUUAAUAUGGUGAGGAAAGUACUUUUGAAGAGCAACCAGGCAUCCUCUGGGAUGAGGUCAGCAAGCAGGCCUUCAGGAUAUGCACUAUGCUUUACCAUUACAUUUACAGUAAGUGACAUUUUGUAAUGCAGGUAAAUUCACAAAACAUGUUCCAGCGUUCUUACUGUUCUAUCCUCAGAAUUGACAGAAGACCCUGUGGUGGUGGUGGAAAUGGUGAGGGCCGGGAAUGACAUACGGCUGUCUUAAAUAAAGCAGGCCAUUGAGGAGAACGAUGACACCUUCGACAAUGUGGCAUCCAUCAGCCUACCAACAAAGCAGGCAAUUGAGGAGAACGAUGACACCUUCGACAAUGUGGCAUCCAUCAGCCUACCAAUAAUAGCCCACCUUUUGAAAAGGCACCAGGUAUCUAUGAAACACAUUUACCUGGUGCCUUUUAAGAGAAACAAUGACCAGGUAAAACAACUGCGGGCCGAGUAUGUUCAGAGGGUGAUGGUGCUUGAUGCUGCUGUGAACCAUCACAAGUAUAUCUUUGUUCAUGAAGCGUGCUUCAACCUGGCCAAAAACUUGUGUCGUGGGCGGAACCUCAUCAGUCAACGGGCGACCGUCCUAGUCCCUGGACAAUGUGGGUUAAACAUCUCUAUGUGCGCAGCUAUCUCUGAAGAUGGUGUGGUAGGAUGUAGGCCAUUACUUGGAUCCUACAAUGCUGCACACCUCAUUGUGUUUCUCAAUUAAAUUGAGCAGGCCAUACAGUAUGUCAUUGUGUGGGACAAUGUCAGGUUCCACCAUGCAGAGGGGGUUGAGGCAUGGUAUUGGGCCGAUCCCCGAUUCGUGACCCCAUACUCUACUUUCCUCAACCCUAUUGAGGAAUUUGUUUCAGCAUGGAGGUGGAAGUGUGUACGAUCACACUUCCACCCAUCCCCAUGAGCCACCCUCCUGGCCAUAGGUGAGGCAUGUGAAGACAUCAAUGCAGACCAUCAAUGCAGACCAAUGUCAAGCUUGGAUUCACCAUGCCAAAAGGUUUUCCCCAUGAUUGCAUGAACAAUGAGGACAUUCAUUGUGAUGUGGAUAAGAAUUUAUGGCCAAAUGCUUAAGACAGGCUUGAUCCAAAUUAAUGGAUUUAUUUUCAUUCGUUUCAUUUAAUUUCUUACAUUUGAUUACAGUCAGUACAGCUACGUUGCAAUUAUUUCGUAAAAAUAUUUUGCAUGAAUGAUUGUAGAGGAUGUUUUUAUUGAGCACACCUUUGAUUACACAUUGGAUAGAUAUUAUGUAAAUUAUAGAUUUUCUGUCAAUUUUGUUCGAUAAUGUAAGUGUAUUGCCUAAUGUGAAAACUAUGUAAUUUACAGUACUGUAGCAUAUUAUUUUCAGCACUUCUAAGGGUGAUUUGAAACGCGUAUCUUGCAUUGUUUUCUAUUGCAUUAACUGGUAGUUAAAACAACUAAAUUGAAAGAUAUCAUUAUGUUUUGGUGAUUGUUUAAUCUUCUCAUUAAAUUUCACAAACUUCUA